UCUUCUGGAACAUUACUGACGCUGAGGGCGCGAAAGCGUGGGGAGCAAACGGGAUUAGAUACCCCGGUAGUCCACGCCCUAAACGAUGAACACUAGUCGUCGGAAUGCUAGUCAUUUCGGUGAUGCACUUAACAGAUUAAGUGUUCCGCCUGGGGAGUACGGUCGCAAGAUUAAAACUCAAAGGAAUAGACGGGGACCCGCACAAGUGGUGGAGCAUGUGGUUUAAUUCGAAGAUACGCGAAGAACCUUACCUAGCCUUGACAUUGAUUGAACACUUUAGAGAUAGAGUGGUGCCCUUCGGGGAACAUGAAAACAGGUGCUGCACGGCUGUCGUCAGCUCGUGUCGUGAGAUGUUGGGUUAAGUCCCGCAACGAGCGCAACCCUCGUCCUUAGUUGCCAGCAGUUCGGCUGGGCACUCUAAGGAGACUGCCUUCGCAAGGAGGAGGAAGGUGAGGACGACGUCAAGUCAUCAUGGCCCUUAUGGCUAGGGCUACACACGUGCUACAAUGGGGCGUACAGAGAGUUGCGAUACCGCGAGGUGGAGCCAAUCUCAUAAAGCGUCUCUCAGUUCGGAUUGGAGUCUGCAACUCGACUCCAUGAAGCUGGAAUCACUAGUAAUCGUAGAUCAGCAAUGCUACGGUGAAUACGUUCCCGGGUCUUGUACUCACCGCCCGUCACACCAUGGGAGUUGA
Molecule: ribosomal RNA, 692 nt
Filed under: uncultured bacterium
Lineage: Bacteria
Description: bacterial SSU rRNA
Rfam family: Bacterial small subunit ribosomal RNA
Source: RNAcentral